RNAcentral lists this ribosomal RNA (261 nucleotides) under uncultured archaeon. RNAcentral's name for it is "partial 16S ribosomal RNA". It matches the Rfam family "Archaeal small subunit ribosomal RNA", at positions 748 to 1008 of the family's 1478-position model. The record is from RNAcentral.
CAGCCGUAAACUAUGCGCGUUAGGUGUGCUGGUGACCACGUGUCACCGGGUGCCGAAGGGAAACCGUGAAACGUGCCGCCUGGGAAGUACGGUCGCAAGGCUGAAACUUAAAGGAAUUGGCGGGGGAGCACCACAACGGGUGGGAGCCUGCGGUUUAAUUGGACUCAACGCCGGAAAUCUCACCGGAUAGGACAGACAAAUGAUAGUCGGGCUGAAGACUCUACUUGAUGAUCUGAGAGGAGGUGCAUGGCGUCAGUGACU